UACGGGAGGCAGCAGUGAGGAAUAUUGGUCAAUGGCCGAGAGGCUGAACCAGCCAUGCCGCGUGCGGGAGGACGGCCCUAUGGGUUGUAAACCGCUUUUGUUGGGGAGCAAUAAGGGUCACGCGUGCCCUGAUGAGAGUACCCAGCGAAUAAGCAUCGGCUAACUCCGUGCCAGCAGCCGCGGUAAU
RNAcentral lists this ribosomal RNA (187 nucleotides) under uncultured rumen bacterium. Its description in RNAcentral is "partial 16S ribosomal RNA". It matches the Rfam family "Bacterial small subunit ribosomal RNA", at positions 340 to 524 of the family's 1533-position model. The record is from RNAcentral.